AAAGCCAAGAGGAGCAUUCCAGAGCACUUCUCCCUGAUGGUUUCCUGGAGGACAAUAUCAACUAAGAUUCAGAAACAAUUGAAGAAGAGAAGGAAACUAUCAAAAGAAAUGACAAAGCAAACUUGCUUAGCUUUAAUUGUCAACUUGAUACCAUCUACAGUCACCUGGGGAGAGAGUCUUAAUGACGACUGUCCACUUUUGGUUGGCUUAUGGUGUAACUGGAAUCAUAUGUAUGACCGUGGAAUGGAAGCUAUAUACAGAAGCUUGCUGAAGUAACCAAUGUAUAUCCAAUUGAAGACAUUGACUCCAUCUUCUGCAUCAUCAGGCCUAUGCCUACUCCUUUAUGGAUUAUUGACCAAGCAUUUAAAGAAGCAGACAUGAAUUGACUUCUGUGGAGUAGGCUUUAUAAUCAGAGAGUGGCUGACUAACCCAUAAAAGGAGUCUGCAUAGCACCUUGCCAAAUUAUGAAAACUAGCCAACAGGAAGAAAACUUCCAUCUCAGUUCCAGCUUGAUUUCUCUAAGUCAUUCAACCAAAGUGCCUAGUGCCUUUAACAGUAGGUUUUUACCAUUGGUUUCUGGUGGGAAACCAAAA
Molecule: non-coding RNA, 593 nt
Organism: Peromyscus maniculatus bairdii (prairie deer mouse)
Lineage: Eukaryota; Metazoa; Chordata; Mammalia; Rodentia; Cricetidae
Source: RefSeq, a predicted model, not a curated record